AAAGCUUGCUUUUUGCUGACGAGUGGCGAACGGGUGCGUAACGCGUAUGCAACCUACCUUUUUCAGAGGAAUAGCCCAGAGAAAUUUGGAUUAAUACCUCAUAAUAAUAUUUUUUCGCAUGUUAAAAUAUUUAAAGCUUCGGCGGAAAAAGAUGGGCAUGCGUAACAUUAGUUUGUUGGUGAGGUAACGGCUCACCAAGACUACGAUGUUUAGGGGUUCUGAGAGGAUGAUCCCCCACACUGGUACUGAGACACGGACCAGACUCCUACGGGAGGCAGCAGUGAGGAAUAUUGGUCAAUGGACGAAAGUCUGAACCAGCCAUGCCGCGUGAAGGAUGACUGCCCUAUGGGUUGUAAACUUCUUUUGUAUAGGAAGAAACCCCUCUACG
RNAcentral lists this ribosomal RNA (388 nucleotides) under uncultured Bacteroidota bacterium. RNAcentral describes it as "bacterial SSU rRNA". It matches the Rfam family "Bacterial small subunit ribosomal RNA", at positions 75 to 460 of the family's 1533-position model. The record is from RNAcentral. Lineage: Bacteria; Pseudomonadati; Bacteroidota.